This 385-nucleotide ribosomal RNA is filed under the name uncultured bacterium. RNAcentral describes it as "bacterial SSU rRNA". It matches the Rfam family "Bacterial small subunit ribosomal RNA", at positions 30 to 417 of the family's 1533-position model. The record is from RNAcentral.
AUUGAACGCUGGCGGCAUGCCUUACACAUGCAAGUCGAACGGUAACAGGCCGCAAGGUGCUGACGAGUGGCGAACGGGUGAGUAACACAUCGGAACGUGCCUGAUAGUGGGGGAUAACUACUCGAAAGAGUAGCUAAUACCGCAUAAGAUCUCAGGAUGAAAGCAGGGGACCGCAAGGCCUUGCGCUAACAGAGCGGCCGAUGGCAGAUUAGGUAGUUGGUGGGAUAAAAGCUUACCAAGCCGACGAUCUGUAGCUGGUCUGAGAGGACGACCAGCCACACUGGGACUGAGACACGGCCCAGACUCCUACGGGAGGCAGCAGUGGGGAAUUUUGGACAAUGGGCGCAAGCCUGAUCCAGCAAUGCCGCGUGCAGGAUGAAGGCCU